UACGCUGUAAACGAUGGAUACUAGCAUUCGGAGGUGUCGACCCCUUCGGUAGCGAAGCUAACGCGUUAAGUAUCCCGCCUGUGUAGUACGAGCGCAAGCUUAAAACAUAAAGGAAUUGACGGGGACCCGCACAAGCGGUGGAGCGUGUUCUUUAAUUCGAGGCUAAGCGAAGAACCUUACCAGGGCUUGAAAUCCCGAGAAGGCUCUCGAAAGAGAGCUGUGCCUUUUGGAACUCGGUGACAGGUGC
Molecule: ribosomal RNA, 247 nt
Filed under: uncultured bacterium
Lineage: Bacteria
Description: partial 16S ribosomal RNA
Rfam family: Bacterial small subunit ribosomal RNA
Source: RNAcentral